Molecule: unclassified non-coding RNA, 200 nt
Filed under: uncultured Tricholomataceae
Lineage: Eukaryota; Fungi; Basidiomycota; Agaricomycetes; Agaricales; Tricholomataceae
Description: sequence contains ITS2
Source: RNAcentral
AAUUCUCAAACCUUCAGUUGUUGUAAUGACGACUUAAGGAUUUGGAUGUGGGGGUUGCUGGCUUUCUAAGUCGGCUCUCCUUAAAUGCAUUAGUGGUUACUGUUCUCCACUUUGGUGUGAUAAUUAUCUACAUCUGCAAGUGGAGAUGUUAAGUGUAGCUGCUCUCUAACGGUCCAAUCUAUUUGGACAAUUUUUGAACU